CCUACGGGUGGCAGCAGUGGGGAAUUUUGGACAAUGGGCGCAAGCCUGAUCCAGCUAUUCCGCGUGAGGGAAGACGGCCUUCGGGUUGUAAACCACUUUUGUAGAGAACGAAAAGUCUAUUGAUAAUACCGAUAGAUGAUGACGGUACUCUAAGAAUAAGCACCGGCUAACUACGUGCCAGCAGCCGCGGUAAUACGUAGGGUGCGAGCGUUAAUCGGAAUUACUGGGCGUAAAGGGUGUGCAGGCGGUUUUGCAAGAUGGAUGUGAAAGCCCCGGGCUUAACCUGGGAAAGCCAUACAUGACUGCAAGACUAGAGUGCGUCAGAGGGGGGUGGAAUUCCAAGUGUAGCAGUGAAAUGCGUAGAUAUUUGGAAGAACACCGAUGGCGAAGGCAGCCCCCUGGGACGCAACUGACGCUCAUACACGAAAGCGUGGGGAGCAAACAGGAUUAGAUACCCCGGUAGUC
RNAcentral lists this ribosomal RNA (465 nucleotides) under uncultured bacterium. Its description in RNAcentral is "partial 16S ribosomal RNA". It matches the Rfam family "Bacterial small subunit ribosomal RNA", at positions 338 to 795 of the family's 1533-position model. The record is from RNAcentral.